Molecule: ribosomal RNA, 450 nt
Filed under: uncultured bacterium
Lineage: Bacteria
Description: bacterial SSU rRNA
Rfam family: Bacterial small subunit ribosomal RNA
Source: RNAcentral
GUCGAGAAUCAUUCGCAAUGGGCGCAAGCCUGACGAUGCGACGCCGUGUGAGCGAUGAAGGCCUUCGGGUUGUAAAGCUCUUUCGCUUGGGAACAAGGGAGAAUAACUAACACUUAUUCAACUUGAGGGUACCAGGUAAAGAAGCACCGGCUAACUACGUGCCAGCAGCUGCGGUAAUACGUAGGGUGCAAGCAUUAAUCGGAAUUAUUGGGCGUAAAGGGCGCGUAGGCGGAUAGUCAAGUCGUGUGUGAAAUUUCGGGGCUCAACCUCGAAGCGGCACAGGAAACUCACUAUCUUGAGGGUAGACGGAGAGAACGGAAUUCCACAAGUAGCGGUGAAAUGCGUAGAUAUGUGGAAGAACACCGGUGGCGAAGGCGGUUCUCUAGUUUAUUCCUGACGCUGAGGCGCGAAAGCAAGGGGAGCAAACAGGAUUAGAUACCCCAGUAGUCC